RNAcentral lists this unclassified non-coding RNA (206 nucleotides) under plant metagenome. RNAcentral's name for it is "partial contains small subunit ribosomal RNA and internal transcribed spacer 1". The record is from RNAcentral.
AAUGUCAUAACAAGGGUUUUCUGUAGGUGAACCCUGCAGAAGGAUCAUUAUUGAAUUGUUAAAAUGGGGGAAAUCUUUUCGAGAUUCCCUCUACAUUCUUUUAUUCCUAACACCUGUGAAAUCGUUGCUGAGUUCGCUCAGUAGCAACAUUUUAUUAUACACACAUAAUAGUUUAGAAACGUAAAAAUUAUAUAAUAAAAUUACAA